This 253-nucleotide ribosomal RNA is filed under the name uncultured bacterium. RNAcentral's name for it is "partial 16S ribosomal RNA". It matches the Rfam family "Bacterial small subunit ribosomal RNA", at positions 524 to 776 of the family's 1533-position model. The record is from RNAcentral.
UACGGAGGGUGCAAGCGUUAUCCGGAUUCACUGGGUUUAAAGGGUGCGUAGGCGGGUUGGUAAGUCCGUGGUGAAAUCCCCAAGCUUAACUUGGGAACUGCCGUGGAUACUAUCAAUCUUGAAUAUCGUGGAGGUAAGCGGAAUAUGUCAUGUAGCGGUGAAAUGCUUAGAUAUGACAUAGAACACCAAUUGCGUAGGCAGCUUACUACACGAUCAUUGACGCUGAGGCACGAAAGCGUGGGGAGCAAAUAGG